Molecule: ribosomal RNA, 376 nt
Filed under: uncultured bacterium
Lineage: Bacteria
Description: bacterial SSU rRNA
Rfam family: Bacterial small subunit ribosomal RNA
Source: RNAcentral
UACGUAGGUGGCAAGCGUUGUCCGGAAUUACUGGGCGUAAAGCGCAUGUAGGCGGUUUGAUCAGUCGGAUGUGAAAUCCCCGAGCUUAACUUGGGAAUGGCAUUCGAUACUGUCAAGCUAGAGUAGGCUAGAGGAAAGGGGAAUUCCGCGUGUAGCAGUGAAAUGCGUAGAUAUGCGGAGGAACACCAAUGGCGAAGGCACCUUUCUGGGGUCAUACUGACGCUGAGAUGCGAAAGCGUGGGGAGCAAACAGGAUUAGAUACCCUGGUAGUCCACGCCCUAAACGAUGUCAACUAGUUGUUGGGAGGGUUUAACCUUUCGGUGACGAAGCUAACGUAUUAAGUUGACCGCCUGGGGAGUACGGCCGCAAGGUUGAA